Molecule: ribosomal RNA, 349 nt
Filed under: uncultured bacterium
Lineage: Bacteria
Description: bacterial SSU rRNA
Rfam family: Bacterial small subunit ribosomal RNA
Source: RNAcentral
GGGCCCGCACAAGCGGUGGAGCAUGUGGUUUAAUUCGAUGAUACGCGAGGAACCUUACCGAGGGCUUAAAUGUAAGUUGCAUAGAUCAGAGAUGAUCCUUUCUUCGGACCACUUACAAGGUGCUGCAUGGUUGUCGUCAGCUCGUGCCGUGAGGUGUCAGGUUAAGUCCUAUAACGAGCGCAACCCCUAUCGUUAGUUGCCAGCAAGUAAAGUUGGGUACUCUAGCGAGACUGCCGGUGCAAACCGAGAGGAAGGUGGGGAUGACGUCAAAUCAUCACGGCCCUUACGUCCGUGGCUACACACGUGCUACAAUGGCCGGUACAGAGAGCAGCCACUACGCGAGUAGGAG